UACGUAGGGGGCAAGCGUUGUCCGGAUUUAUUGGGCGUAAAGAGCGUGUAGGCGGCCAGGCAGGUCCGCUGUGAAAACUCGAGGCUCAACCUCGAGAGGUCGGUGGAAACCGUCUGGCUAGAGUCCGGAAGAGGAGAGUGGAAUUCCCGGUGUAGCGGUGAAAUGCGCAGAUAUCGGGAAGAACACCCGUGGCGAAGGCGGCUCUCUGGAACGCAACUGACGCUGAGACGCGAAAGCGUGGGGAGCAAACAGG
This 253-nucleotide ribosomal RNA is filed under the name uncultured bacterium. RNAcentral describes it as "partial 16S ribosomal RNA". It matches the Rfam family "Bacterial small subunit ribosomal RNA", at positions 524 to 776 of the family's 1533-position model. The record is from RNAcentral.